UCAGUAACACAAAGAUGCUUUAUCCAACUUAUCUGCUGUGUUUAUUGUUGUGCUAUAUUCAGUGUUCCUGUGGACAGAUUGUGCUGACUCAGUCCUCAGAUGUCACUGUGUCACAAGGUGAAAGUGUCACCAUGACAUGUAAAGCCAGUAGUAGUGUUAGCAACUACUUACACUGGUACCAACAGAAAUCAGGACAACCACCAAAACCUCUUAUCUAUAGAGCAACCAGCAGAGUCACAGGGACCCCAGGCAGAUUCAGCGGCACUCAGUCUGGUACUGAUUUCACUUUGGCAAUCAGCGGAGUGCAAGCAGAAGAUGCAGCAGAUUAUUACUGUCAGCAGAGUAACAGCUUCCCUCUCACAUGUUCACUCCACCUUGUACGUAUCUUCCUGCAGGUGCGGCCCAAAUAUUGUAUGCCACAUCUGCAGUGUCAAUGUGCUACAGUUCCUUCUGAUUCGUCUAAACUGACUGUAGGGGAUGUUGGUCUUCCAACCAUUAAGAUGGUUGCUGGAGAAAUGGAGGAAGUUAUUACUAUCCACCUCCUUGAAAUAAGUGGAAGACACAACAUCCCCCAUGUCAUUCCAUCCGAGACAGACAUCUAA
This is a non-coding RNA of Bombina bombina (fire-bellied toad), 602 nucleotides long. The record is from the annotation of a RefSeq genome assembly. NCBI's taxonomy places the organism in Eukaryota, Metazoa, Chordata, Amphibia, Anura, Bombinatoridae.